Molecule: long non-coding RNA, 2195 nt
Filed under: Sus scrofa (pig)
Lineage: Eukaryota; Metazoa; Chordata; Mammalia; Artiodactyla; Suidae
Description: lncRNA (ENSSSCG00015021030.1)
Source: RNAcentral
CAGACCAGGCUCUUCUCCCAGGUUCCCUCUGAUGCGGCUUUCCACUUCCCCGCCCCUAGAGUAUUGCUCCCUUCCUCUGCGACAGCUUUGUUUUCUAGUCUCCCAGGCAGUCUCUGCCCCGUCAAAUGGUUUAUAGACCUCCCAAGCAGUUUCCGCUCUGCCCCGCCCCCCUAGCCCGGGGACUAAUCUCUGGAGCCGAGGUCUCGGUGCGUCUCAAUUUUUGGUGACUGUGCCCGUAGUUCAGAUGGUCCGUUGGGUUCUUGAUCGGUUUUUCCGUACUCCGACUUACUGCUACACUCUUCUCUGCAUCUGGGGAUUCCUCCGGUUCAUUUGAUCUUUCGCCCGGUAGGUGACUUUCCAGGGUGCGGGAUCCCUUUCUCCUCCGCAGUUCCCUUUCGGGAGCGCCCGUCCCGCUGGGAUUCACCUUCUCUCACUCUCCUCUUUUCUCCCGUUCUGCCCAGUAAUGUCACGAACUUCUUGCCGUUAUUGGAGUUUAGGUUCCUCUGCCAGCGAUUGGUUGCUGUUCUGUGCGAGUCAUUUAUUCUGUAGAUGUGCUUUUUUUGUUGUGUUUGUGGGAGAGGGCGAGCGUGUCCCCCUACUCCUCCGCCAUCUUGUCCUCUUCUCUUGUUUAUCUUUUUAAAAAACCAACUCUUGGUUUUAUUGAUUUUUUUUUCUGUUUUUAAUUUCUGUUCUGUUUGUUUCUUCUCUGCUCUUUAUUAUUUCCUUUCUUCUACUGAGUUUGGGUUUUGUUUGUUCUUUUUCUAAUUUUUUUAGAUGGUAGGUUAGGUUGUUUAUUUGAGAUUUGUAUUGUUUCUUGAGGAAGGCAUGUAUUGCAAUGGAUUUCCCUCUUAGAACUGAUUUUGCUGCAUCCCAUAGACUUUGUAAAUGUGUUUUUUCAUUGUCAUUUGUCAAGAAGUAUGUUCUGAUUUCCUCUUUGAUUUGAUUGUUGACCCAUUGGUUUGUUUUGUUUUCUUUUUUUUUUUUUAAUAGCGUGUUGUUUAGUUCCCCUGUGUUCAUUUUUUCCCUUUUUCCUUUCUGUGGUUGAUUUCUAGUUUCAUACCACUGUGGAGAGAAAAGGUGCUUGAAAUGAUUUCUAUCCUCUUAAAUUUGUUGAGGCUUAUUUUGUGGUUCAAGGAUUGGUCUCUCCUAGAGAAUGUUCCUUGUGCACUUGAAAAGAAUCUAUAGGAAAGGGGAAAUCACAAUAGGAAAGACAAAUAUAUAAAAGAAUUGAAGAUCACUUAAAUAAGCCAAUACAGAGAUUUUUUUAAAAAUCAAAAAAUUUUUGUAAAAGCGAUGAUAACUACAAUUAGUACCAAAAGGAUAAACAUGAGGAUGGAAAUGGGAGUCAAAAAUCACAAAAUGUCGGGGAAGGAAGUAAAAAAAUGUAGAUAUUUUAGAAUGUGUUUGAACUUAUGUGGCUAUCAGUCUUUUUUUUUUUUCUUUUUAAUCUUUGCAGAGAAGACAUGUAUUACCGGGCUAUAAAUUAGAGGUGGCAGGUGGGGUGGGGCCGGAGGAGCCGCGUGGUCAUGUUUGGGGCAUCUGCUGGCGCUCUCUGUCCUCCUGGGCCUGGAUCCUGACUUCUUCAUCAAGGCGCUCCUUCGCAGGGGCCACCUUUGACUGCAGGUAGAAGGAGCCACCCACGGAUUUGUUGUUCACUUUGAAGAGGUGUUCGUAGUUCUGCAGAGGAGGGGACGCGAUGACAGGGUGUGCGGUCCCCGGGUUGCAGAGGCGGUUGUAGCUUCUGAAUCUCCUGGGGGCUCAGCUUGGAGAUGUUGAGAAUCGGCUGUGCCUCCUGAAGGCUGAGGCCGGAGAGGUUGGAGACAGCUGCAGACUGGGGGCGGGCACGUCCCCAGGCAUCAGCUGCUGCCCUGCUGGCCACAAACUCCUGGCGCAGGGCCCGGGGGCGAAGGCCCUGCCCACCACCUGCACACACAUCACAAUGAUGCGGGCCAGGUACUUGGCCACGGCGGCUGCUCUGCCUCAGGUACCCGGGCUCCUGCUUCCUGGCCCCGCGGCCUGAGCUCCUCGCGGCUAUCUGUCUUAAACAAGUAGAUGUCAUUACUGGUUAACAUACUAGAAAACCAGGGUAACCACAAAUCAAAAGCAUGCAAUGGAUUCAAACACUAAAGAGAAGGAGACUUGAGCCUAAUGCAAAAGAAAACCAUCAAAUCAAAAAAGAAAAAAAAAAAAAAAAA